Acanthopagrus latus (yellowfin seabream) is the source of this 3808-nucleotide RNA transcript. It is a transcript of the gene named glycerophosphodiester phosphodiesterase domain containing 5b, with no coding region annotated. The transcript is spliced from 18 exons. Lineage: Eukaryota; Metazoa; Chordata; Actinopteri; Spariformes; Sparidae. The record is from RefSeq and is a predicted model, not a curated record.
GUCAGCCUGGUGACGCUCUCUCACUGUACAGGAGGGCUGGAGAUAAAAAGACCGACACACACUCCUCCCACCACUCAGUCCACUGAAUCAGGGGUGUCGGUGAAUACUGCUGUUCACAAAGGGGUAGAGGAGGUUUUACCUACAGAGCGAUCCAAAAACCACAGAGGACGGAGUAACUGAAAAUAUAAACGGGACGAUUUUUUUUUUAAGCUCAACCGAAGCCACCACCAACAGCCGUCCCGCACUCACCUCACCCGGCUCCUUUCUCCUUUGUUUUCGCUGUGAAACUUCGGCUCUGUCAGCAUUUACCGGCCACCCACCUCUCACACGUUACCUCUGACACGGGUUGUCCCCGUUUGACUCUCGGACAGGGGGGACAUUUUUUUUUUCUUUUACCGAGGAGAAAGAGCCUCAACUUCACCGAGCGGCGCGAAGCUAACUGUGAAAUCAAAGAAAAGUGGCAGCAGCCCUCAGACAGGAUACUUUGUCGUCAGUGGGAUGUUAGAGCUCUGGCAGCGGGACUGACAGAAGGAGCAUGGUGAAACACCAACCCCUCCAGGUCUAUGAGCGCCAGCUGUGUUUGUCAUGUAUCACUGGGAUCUACGGUUGCCGCUGGAAACGCUAUCAACGUUCCCAUGAUGACACCACCAAGUGGGAGCUGCUGUGGUCCCUCAUCCUUCUCUUUACCUUCUGUCUGCUGCUUGUCUGGUUCUACUUCUGGUGGGAGGCACAUAACGACUACAAUGAGUUCAACUGGUUCCUCUAUAACCGCUCCAGGGAGUGGAGUGAUGGCACUGUUCCCAUCUUGGCCACCACUGCUGCCGGCUUCACCUACAUUGCAUUUUUAAUGGUUUUAGCACUUUGCCACAUUGCACUUGGGCAACAGUUGAAUUUGCACUGGCUCCAUAAGAUAGGAGUUACCACUGCUCUACUCACCACUAUUGUUGGGGUGAUAUCUGUCAAUCAAACAUGGGGCCAAGAGUGGGAUGUUGUCCCCAUCUCCUUGCAGGCCACAGGUCCAUUCCUGCACAUUGGGGCUCUCGCUGCGAUCACAGCACUGUCAUGGAUUGUGGCUGGACAGGUCGCCCGCUCAGAGAAAACAAUGUUCCAGGUGGUGGUCGUGCUGCUGUACAUCAGUGUGUUACUGGGACUCUAUGUGGUACCCCUCUACAUCACCUCUCCCUGCAUCAUGGACCCAACCACCCUCAAACAACGCCCCGAUGUUAUUGGCCACCAGGGGGCCCCCAUGCUCGCUCCAGAGAACACACUGUGGUCCUUUCAGCGAGCUCUGCAGAUGAACGUCACUGGGUUUGAGGCUGACGUGGCUAUCAGUGUGGACGGAGUGCCUUUCCUGAUGCACGACCACACCUUGGAGAGGACCACAAACGCAGAGAAGGUUUUCCCAGGCAGACAGACAGAUGACGCCUCACACUUCAACUGGACAGAUCUGCAGCAGCUCAACGCAGGACAGUGGUUCCUCAAGGAUGACCCCUUCUGGACAGUGCACAGCCUGUCCCCCCAUGAGAAGGAUCUGAUUGCCAACCAGAGUGUAUGCAGCCUGGAGCAGCUUCUAAAGCUGGCUUCCUAUCACAACAGCACAGUGGUGUUCAGGCUGAGGAGACCUCCUCCAGAGCACCCCUGCUACGACAGCUGGAUCAAUGAUACACUGCAGGCUGUGCAGCAGUCUGGGGUCCCUCAGAGCCUGGUGAUGUGGACUCCAAGUGAACACAGAGCUCAGGUGAGACAGCUGGCACCUGGUCUGAUCCAGACCUCAGUGGACAAACUGACUCCUGAAACUCUUCAUCGGUCUGGCAUCAGCAGGCUGCUGCUCAGAUACAACCAGGCGAGCACACAGGAAAUCAGAAACUUCUCCGAGAGCAACAUCAACCUCACCCUCUACACCAUCAACGAGCCCUGGCUGUACUCAGUGCUCUGGUGCAGCGGGGUGUCUUCAGUCUCCUCAGAGGCCCCACAUAUCCUCAAUAAGGUGCCUUACCCCAUCUGGCUCAUGAGACCAGAUGAAUACUGCCUGAUGUGGGUGUCUGCAGACCUCAUCUCCUUUGCUGUAGUCAUAGGAAUAUUCAUUUUCCAGAACUAUCACGUGAUCAGGUAUCGGACGAGCGGUAUGCGCAGCUACAACCCUGAGCAGAUCAUGCUGAGCGCCGCCGUCAGGAGGUCCAGCAGAGACCUCAAUGUGAUGAAGGAGAAACUCAUCUUCUCUGGUCAGCCCCAGUAGCAGCCUGUGUGAUGUGCACCACCUCCUGUCCAUGCCACCAGCAGUGUGACUUCUUCCUUUAUUCCAUGCAUCCAUUGCAUCCCUCGUUACCCACCACUCCUCUGCCUACUGUGCCCCUCUCCUCCUUCAUCCAUCCAUCCAUCCAUCCCUUCAUGCACCAUACCUCCCCCAUAAACCCUCUCACUGGAGACUACGUCAUGUGUAUGGGAGCUUAUAGACACUCCAGUCUGUCUAGACAGCCCCCUAGUGCUGGGGGGGUCAAAGAGGUAGGGAAUGGAGUUGGCAGUGCUGAGGAGCUGUACGUGGACAAUGGCUACGACUACUACACCAAUCGAGGCAUCAGCCAGUGACUGGGACCGUGUGAAUCUGCCCACAUCAUUCCUGCUCAAGUCAGAGUGAAGUCUGUUCCCCUCCUCUGUCCUGCUGAUCAGCUGACAGACUGCUGUACAUGACAGAGAAGACAUCCACCCAGUUGCUUUUGUGUAAAUUGUGUAAAUAGUUUUGCUUGUCAGACAUACUGUAUAUCGCAUGGGACUUCACGCACUUUUUAUCAGCAGAAUACGCCAAAUCUCUCACAUCUAAAUGUCCCAGAGGCCCCUCUGAGUUACCGAUGCCUGCUUCUUUUUAAAGACGUUUUUUUUUCCAUGUUUUAAGCUAAUUUUCCAAAGCAGUUUCUCGUUUUUAACCACUGUAAAUGAUAUUCUCCUCUCAGCGGAUGCAUGAGACUAAACGCUAGCAGCUCAUUAUCCUCCCUGCCUUCUGUCAGCACUCCACUGUGCUGUUGUUCAUAAAAGUACAAGUAUUAAUAUUUAUAUUUAAAGAGAAAAACAAAAAACACAAACAAGCUGUUUACAGAAGUCCUGCCUUCUCCUCCAGGUGAAAUAUUCACGUGGUGUAUGUAAGAUAUCACCUGGUGUGUGUGUGUGUGUGUGUGUGUGUGUGUGUGUGUGUGUGUGUGUGAGAGCGAUAGAGAGAGCUGUGCUCCCAACAACCAGAGGAACUGGUGAAAAUGGAUUGGGGAGGAACAUUUGUGUUGUCUUUUUAUGCUAAUGUGAAUGUGUUUGGAUUUUUUUUUUUUUUUUUAAAGAUGUGUACGGUGUAUUGUGUGUAUUCUGGCUGGGUACAUAUUUCUUACCCUGUGUGCAGUGCUACGUUGAGUGUAUUAUUGUACAUACAAGGUGAACCAAUGCAUGAGAUGCUCCAGCCAACUAAGAAUUACAUUGGAACUAUGUGACGGUGAUGAAACUGUUGAACAACUCCAAUAGCAAUAGUCUGGUCAUGGUGGAAGUCGAGUCACUUCCUGCUCAGCCUCUGAAUUACAGUUAAGUCUGUGGUGUUUUAGUGUUGACAUGCAUCUAACUGUCGGUUGCUGGUGUAAACCUGAAUGCUUUAGGUAAAUGAAGUGGAUGCUAAAUGUGAAUAUAAAGCUCUAAGCUAACUGAAGGGACACUACAGUUAUCACACGAGGCAGUGCAGGGUUAAGAAGAUGGAUUGCCUUCUGUGUUUCUUUUUCCUUUCUUUGGGUAUUACUGUGCCUCAGAAUUAAACAUUAAAAAGUCUUCUAAAACAGGA